GUGGGGAAUAUUGCGCAAUGGGCGAAAGCCUGACGCAGCAACGCCGCGUGAGUGAUGAAGGUCUUCGGAUCGUAAAGCUCUGUCGGCAGGAACGAUGGGCUCGUUGGCCAAUAUCCAACGGGUUCGACGGUACCUGCAAAGGAAGCACCGGCUAACUCUGUGCCAGCAGCCGCGGUAAGACAGAGGGUGCAAGCGUUGUUCGGAAUUACUGGGCGUAAAGCGCGCGUAGGCGGCUUUUCAAGUCGGGUGUGAAAUCCCAUGGCCUAACCAUGGAAGUGCAUUCGAAACUGAAAGGCUUGAGUCCUGGAGAGGGUGGUGGAAUUCCCAGUGUAGAGGUGAAAUUCGUAGAUAUUGGGAGGAACACCGGUGGCGAAGGCGACCACCUGGACAGAGACUGACGCUGAGGUGCGAAAGCGUGGGGAGCAAACAGGAUUAGAUACCCUAGUAGUCC
This 451-nucleotide ribosomal RNA is filed under the name uncultured bacterium. RNAcentral describes it as "bacterial SSU rRNA". It matches the Rfam family "Bacterial small subunit ribosomal RNA", at positions 354 to 796 of the family's 1533-position model. The record is from RNAcentral.